Molecule: long non-coding RNA, 2701 nt
Organism: Lathyrus oleraceus (garden pea)
Lineage: Eukaryota; Viridiplantae; Streptophyta; Magnoliopsida; Fabales; Fabaceae
Exons: 6
Source: RefSeq, a predicted model, not a curated record
CGUUUUCAUGAUUGUGCUUUAAAACUACCUUUAAAAAAGAAAUAAAAAACCAGCUCUGAACCUAGAAGAAUGACAUUCAGAUGCGUCCUUUUCUCCCUCCCGACUAUCACUUUCUAUCUUCUCUCAAUCUAUCCUCUUAAAACCAAAACCAUCGAAAAGAAACAUUCUUAAAACCAUUUCGCACGCUAAAAAACAAAUAACUCGUUUUAUGCUUUAAAUCGAUACAAGCCCUGUUCUCAGAAGACAAACUAGUUCUUCAAACAGUUUCACCACAACAAUCAAUCUUACAAGCAAAACAUGGCAUAGGGAAAACAAAUGUGAAACAAGCAACGAGCAACCCACAAUAAUAGAUAUGCGAUGCACAAACGGUAUGAAUCUUAGUCCCUCGGUGUUACAGAUGCGUGCAAUGAGUCAGAGUAAGAGAGUAAAGAUGUAAGGAUCUACCAGUUCGGACGUAAAUGAAGAAAAAAAAUAUCGCCAGAGUAACAGUCUUGUUUCUCAAAUGAUUGGGAGUCUCCUCAUAUAGGGCGAAGAUGAGUGGCCCUUCAAUCAUGAGCUGGCAAAUUCUAGCGGAUCUUUCCAUUAGAGAACGGAUCCUUUUUCGAAUUUUGUGUGGUCCUCGAGUGAAGGCAAUACGUACGAAUUUGUUGGUGGAAAGAUCUCUCCAGAUAAGUGGUCCCUCUUGUUGAAUCUUUUAUCAAGUCAUUACCACAGUGAAACAUACGUGUUGUGGUGUCCUUCUUGUUUUCAAAACUUAUCCUUUUUCAUGCUUUUCACAUUCCCUUCCCUUAUUUUACGCAGGCCUUUUUUGUUUUGGAAGUGUCAUGAAGUCGUAACAUGUGUGCACAUGUUUUAAGCUUGUACUCUUUUAACUGUGGAUUCAACUCUUGCACAUUUAGUGUUUCCGCAGGUUAUGCUUAACUGAUGUGAUGAAGAUAUUUAACUCAAUGGCCAUUUGGGCUGCUAUUGAUGAAUUUGAUUCAACCUUAUUGGCUUUGCUUUGCCUAAUGGACCUUAUCGUGGUUGCUUUCCAUUGAUGUACUUGUAAUCUUGUAAAUAAUUGUGGUAGUGAAUACAUGUGCUGGAAAUUCUAAGAAUGACUGCGCUUGGUCCUUGGUGGAAGUUCGACUAAUGUUUUAAUGAGAUGAACGAUAUUGGUGUGCUACCGGUUCUUGUACAGUGUCUAGGAUUUUGCAUCACGGUUGCAGAUUGGUAGGCCUCUUGCAGUACCGUUGACUUUACCAAAGUAGCCUAUGUCGUGACAAUUCCGACACGGAGGGGUUUACAAGCCUGUACCCUGUAUAUCCAUGGCUCCUUGAAACAUGAUGUCUCACCUGCCACUUAUUAUGGGCAAAGCUUGGUGCCUUGGCUAUGCGCAUAAUGUCUGUACUUGAUGACAGUAACAUUUGGUUGUCAUUUGGAUGUUGCUUGGUGUCGUGGCUUUUUGUGUUGUCAUGUUGUAAUUUGAUGGCUAUUGGUUUGCAGGACAUGGUAUUUAUGAUGACUUGGCAUGAAGGUAAUAACUAUCAUCUUGCAGACCCGAUAGUAAAGUUCCAUGAUAAAAGAUGUGACUGUAGGUUGUAGUAUCAUGUUGUGAUAUAAUGGUAAUUUGUUAAAAACCAAUAAUUAACACAAAUUGGAUGUAAUGUUGGAUGGCAUACAUCAUCUUCACUAUAUCUAACUUCUGCAAACUUUGUUAGGGACUGUAUGAUCAAAUCUUCAUGGCUUAUUGUCACCUCUUUGGGUUUUUUUCCAAUAAUUCCUGAGAUACGGUAUAUUGUGGCAGUUCCCUCACCCAAGAGCAAUUAAACUCUAAAGGCUUCACCAUGUGCUUCUUUAGUAUCCCUGUAGUCAUCUUUCUUGCAGGGUAUGUAUUCAUGGGGAAACAAAGGCAAUCCGUCAUGACUAGCACGCUGUAAUUCGUCUCUUGAAUCAUCAACAAAGAAUAAAGUGGAUGAAACGCUAGUUGAUUCACCGUUAAAAGUAACAUGUUUCAUGGUUUGAAUAUUUGUGACAGAAACACCAGGUGGAGGAUAUUGUAAAUAACCAAUAGAUAUUGCCUCAGCAGUUAAAAGAUAUGGUGCAACAUGAGGGUGAAAAAUCCAAAGCUCGUAGAGAUCACCUAGUUUCCAACACAAAAAGUUGAGUAGGAUGCUUCACUUUUCUUGUCAUAGUGCCAUAUGUUCAGCUUGUGGUCUGAUGUGACGGUAAUAAUUUCCCUUUUGGCAUGAAGAGCAAAUGGAAGCAAAUUGGGCGAUAAAAAUAGUGAGAUGUUAUGCACUAUGAUACGUUGGCAUCCCUAAAUCGAACUUCUUGAUCCAAGCUCCCACUAGCAAGUAUAGGUAGAUGUAAUGGAUGGAGCCUAACCACCCAAGACGUCCUCAUAUGGCCCAUUAACACCCAUUAAGCGACGUCCAGUUUCACAAUCGAUUAUCUUUACCGUGUGGUCACCGUGCACAGAUGCAAGAAUUUUUGUCUGGACUAAACAUUGUUGCAAUGGUAGACCUUGAAUGACCAUAACUCGCAAAACCACUUUAAUAAAUAAUGUAACUUAAAUCCUUUCAUGCUUUUUUAAUGUGCAAGACAAAUUUAUGGAAACUUUGGCUAUGAAAGAAAUGAGGGAUGAAUGCAUGAAUGGAGAGAUGAGCUAAUGAUGAAUGUAUGCUUGUUAUUAAAAGAAAGGCAAACAAAUACUCCAUAA